This 1228-nucleotide long non-coding RNA is filed under the name Hordeum vulgare. Its description in RNAcentral is "long non-coding RNA (HVUL_LNC015924)". Lineage: Eukaryota; Viridiplantae; Streptophyta; Magnoliopsida; Poales; Poaceae. The record is from RNAcentral.
UUUUGCAGCAACUGCGGGGCCCCGCUGUUAGACCCUUUAGCACCGGUUUUUAACACAAACCGGUCCUAAAGCCCUCCCGUAUAUUCCACUCCGAGCUCAGCUCCAUUUUUUCCAGCUCGAGCUCAACUCCAUUUUUGCUCUCUCCUUCCUCUUGGGAGCUCUAAUCCAUCCCCAUUUUUCUCCACCAUUUGUCAAGAUUGUUGGCACCCAUCGGUCCUACGGUUAGCAUCAACAUUCCCUCUUCCGGCAGUGCAAGUUUUAUUCGUUUUCUUGCUCAUUUCAUUUUUGUUGUGCUAGCUAGGUGUUUGAUGAAAUGCCUAAGCUAGAGAGAGUUCAUCAUUUGUUAUGUAUACAUAUGCAAUUUGAGCUCAAAUUUAAUUAUGAUUUGUGGUUUUUUUAGUGUCGCGCGCCUUGUCCUCUUCCUCACCGCCGUCGAUCCCCCCGUCACCGACACAACCUUGGUGAGCCUAUUGUUUUUAUUUACCAAUUUUUUUUUUGAUUUGUAUGAUUUACAUAUUUACUUGUAUAUAAUUAUCUUAUUGUGUAAGAUUUUUUGAUAUGUAUAGCGCCAUGGUUUUGAUAUCCGUCCCCGUUGGCCCUCGUCCAGUCUAUGAUUCGGAUGUGGUAUAUUAUCUUUUAUAACUACAUAUUUUCAUUUCCUGAUUAUAUGACAAUUAAUUACGCCGACCAACUUGACAUAGAUAUUUUUAUCUAGGAGGUAGUGGAACCGGAAAUGCCAAUCGACCCUAUUGUUGAGAAGUUGCACUUAGUUGAACAAGAAAAUGUUGGCCUGAAAGAAAGAUUGAAAAAAACUGAAGAAAGGUUGGAAAAAACUGAAAGAGAGAAGAUGACCUUGGAAAAGGUUCUUGCCGGUGUCGUUGAUGGUCAUAAGAGCGAGAUGGACGCAAUGCGCCUGAAGAUUAGAAAGAUUAGAAAAUAUGCAAUUAGUAAAGAGGCUUGGUAUCAUUAUGCCGUCGGGUCAAUUGUUACCUUUGUUGCGAUUUUGAUCGCAUUUGUUGUUUUUUUAAAUGCAUUAAUUAGAGAGAGUUUUUAUGGUUGGUUUCAGUGUGUAUUUUUAUGAGAACUAUAUAUGUAUGGUCACUACACUACUUUGGUUUUAACGUGUGAUGAACUUUUUGUAUUAAUUAAUUAAUUUAGUCAUGAUGAUUUAGCAUAAUGGUUUUUGAUAAAUUUAUAUAAUGCAGAUGAACCGGCAAUGGAUGUACAG